RNAcentral lists this ribosomal RNA (302 nucleotides) under uncultured bacterium. Its description in RNAcentral is "partial 16S ribosomal RNA". It matches the Rfam family "Bacterial small subunit ribosomal RNA", at positions 508 to 807 of the family's 1533-position model. The record is from RNAcentral.
GCAGUAGCCGCGGUAAUACGAGGGGGGCAAGCGUUGUUCGGAUUUAUUGGGCGUAAAGGGUGCGUAGGCGGUUUGGCAAGUCUUGUGUGAAAUCUUCGGGCUCAACCCGAAGCCUGCACGAGAAACUACCGGGCUUGAGUAUUGGAGAGGUGAGUGGAAUUUCCGGUGUAGCGGUGAAAUGCGUAGAUAUUCGGAAGAACACCAGUGGCGAAGGCGACAUACUGGUCCAUUACUGACGCUGAGGCUCGAAAGCGUGGGGAGCAAACAGGAUUAGAUACCCGCGUAGUCCCUGUCUCUUAUAC